RNAcentral lists this ribosomal RNA (464 nucleotides) under Vreelandella stevensii. Its description in RNAcentral is "partial 16S ribosomal RNA". It matches the Rfam family "Bacterial small subunit ribosomal RNA", at positions 338 to 795 of the family's 1533-position model. Lineage: Bacteria; Pseudomonadati; Pseudomonadota; Gammaproteobacteria; Oceanospirillales; Halomonadaceae. The record is from RNAcentral.
CCUACGGUGGCUGCAGUGGGGAAUAUUGGACAAUGGGUGAAAGCCUGAUCCAGCCAUGCCGCGUGUGUGAAGAAGGCCUUCGGGUUGUAAAGCACUUUCAGUGGGGAAGAAAGCCUUGGGGCUAAUACCCUCGAGGAAGGACAUCACCCACAGAAGAAGCACCGGCUAACUCCGUGCCAGCAGCCGCGGUAAUACGGAGGGUGCGAGCGUUAAUCGGAAUUACUGGGCGUAAAGCGCGCGUAGGCGGUCUGAUAAGCCGGUUGUGAAAGCCCCGGGCUCAACCUGGGAACGGCAUCCGGGACUGUCAGGCUAGAGUGCAGGAGAGGAAGGUAGAAUUCCCGGUGUAGCGGUGAAAUGCGUAGAGAUCGGGAGGAAUACCAGUGGCGAAGGCGGCCUUCUGGACUGGCACUGACGCUGAGGUGCGAAAGCGUGGGUAGCAAACAGGAUUAGAUACCCGGGUAGUC